Molecule: ribosomal RNA, 731 nt
Filed under: uncultured bacterium
Lineage: Bacteria
Description: bacterial SSU rRNA
Rfam family: Bacterial small subunit ribosomal RNA
Source: RNAcentral
AACAGGAUUAGAUACCCUGGUAGUCCACGCUGUAAACGAUGUCGACUUGGAGGUUGUGCCCUUGAGGCGUGGCUUCCGGAGCUAACGCGUUAAGUCGACCGCCUGGGGAGUACGGCCGCAAGGUUAAAACUCAAAUGAAUUGACGGGGGCCCGCACAAGCGGUGGAGCAUGUGGUUUAAUUCGAUGCAACGCGAAGAACCUUACCUACUCUUGACAUCCAGAGAAUUUGCUAGAGAUAGCUUAGUGCCUUCGGGAACUCUGAGACAGGUGCUGCAUGGCUGUCGUCAGCUCGUGUUGUGAGAUGUUGGGUUAAGUCCCGCAACGAGCGCAACCCUUAUCCUUUGUUGCCAGCGAGUAAUGUCGGGAACUCAAAGGAGACUGCCGGUGAUAAACCGGAGGAAGGUGGGGAUGACGUCAAGUCAUCAUGGCCCUUACGAGUAGGGCUACACACGUGCUACAAUGGCAUAUACAAAGAGAAGCGAACUCGCGAGAGCAAGCGGACCUCAUAAAGUAUGUCGUAGUCCGGAUUGGAGUCUGCAACUCGACUCCAUGAAGUCGGAAUCGCUAGUAAUCGUAGAUCAGAAUGCUACGGUGAAUACGUUCCCGGGCCUUGUACACACCGCCCGUCACACCAUGGGAGUGGGUUGCAAAAGAAGUAGGUAGCUUAACCUUCGGGAGGGCGCUUACCACUUUGUGAUUCAUGACUGGGGUGAAGUCGUAACAAGGUAACC